Molecule: ribosomal RNA, 274 nt
Filed under: uncultured bacterium
Lineage: Bacteria
Description: partial 16S ribosomal RNA
Rfam family: Bacterial small subunit ribosomal RNA
Source: RNAcentral
AUACGUAGGUCCCGAACGUUGCGCGAAAUUACUGGGCGUAAAGGGUCCGUAGGCGGUCUGGUAAGUGGAAGGUGAAAGCCUGGGGCUCAACUCCAGAAUUGCCUUCCAAACUGCCGGACUUGAGGCAGGGAGAGGUCGGCGGAAUUCCCGGUGUAGCGGUGAAAUGCGUAGAUUUCGGGAGGAACACCAGUGGCGAAGGCGGCCGACUGGAACUGUCCUGACGCUGAGGGACGAAAGCCAGGGGAGCGAACCGGAUUAGAAACCCUUGUAGUCC